Molecule: ribosomal RNA, 253 nt
Filed under: uncultured bacterium
Lineage: Bacteria
Description: partial 16S ribosomal RNA
Rfam family: Bacterial small subunit ribosomal RNA
Source: RNAcentral
GACAGAGGGGGCAAGCGUUGCUCGGAAUCACUGGGCGUAAAGGGCGCGUAGGCGGGAUGGCAAGUCGGUCGUGAAAUCCUUCGGCUCAACCGAAGAACGUCGGCCGAUACUGCCGUUCUUGAGGGAUGCAGAGGAGAUUGGAAUUCCCGGUGUAGCGGUGAAAUGUGUAGAGAUCGGGAGGAACACCAGUGGCGAAGGCGGCGAUCUGGGAAGAUACUGACGCUGAGGUGCGAAAGCGUGGGGAGCAAACAGG